This 940-nucleotide ribosomal RNA is filed under the name Staphylococcus succinus. RNAcentral describes it as "bacterial SSU rRNA". It matches the Rfam family "Bacterial small subunit ribosomal RNA", at positions 71 to 976 of the family's 1533-position model. Lineage: Bacteria; Bacillati; Bacillota; Bacilli; Caryophanales; Staphylococcaceae. The record is from RNAcentral.
AUAAGGAGCUUGCUCCUUUGAAGUUAGCGGCGGACGGGUGAGUAACACGUGGGUAACCUACCUAUAAGACUGGAAUAACUUCGGGAAACCGGAGCUAAUGCCGGAUAACAUAUAGAACCGCAUGGUUCUAUAGUGAAAGAUGGUUUUGCUAUCACUUAUAGAUGGACCCGCGCCGUAUUAGCUAGUUGGUAAGGUAAUGGCUUACCAAGGCGACGAUACGUAGCCGACCUGAGAGGGUGAUCGGCCACACUGGAACUGAGACACGGUCCAGACUCCUACGGGAGGCAGCAGUAGGGAAUCUUCCGCAAUGGGCGAAAGCCUGACGGAGCAACGCCGCGUGAGUGAUGAAGGUUUUCGGAUCGUAAAACUCUGUUAUUAGGGAAGAACAAAUGCGUAAGUAACUGUGCGCAUCUUGACGGUACCUAAUCAGAAAGCCACGGCUAACUACGUGCCAGCAGCCGCGGUAAUACGUAGGUGGCAAGCGUUAUCCGGAAUUAUUGGGCGUAAAGCGCGCGUAGGCGGUUUCUUAAGUCUGAUGUGAAAGCCCACGGCUCAACCGUGGAGGGUCAUUGGAAACUGGGAAACUUGAGUGCAGAAGAGGAAAGUGGAAUUCCAUGUGUAGCGGUGAAAUGCGCAGAGAUAUGGAGGAACACCAGUGGCGAAGGCGACUUUCUGGUCUGUAACUGACGCUGAUGUGCGAAAGCGUGGGGAUCAAACAGGAUUAGAUACCCCUGGUAGUCCACGCCGUAAACGAUGAGUGCUAAGUGUUAAGGGGGUUUCCGCCCCCUUAGUGCUGCAGCUAACGCAUUAAGCACUCCCGCCUGGGGGAGUACGACCCGCAAGGGUUGAAACUCCAAAGGAAUUUGACGGGGGACCCCGCACCAAGCGGGUGGGAGCAUGGUGGGUUUAAUUCCGAAGCAACCGCGAAAGAACCUUUACC